UACGUAGGGAGCAAGCGUUGUCCGGAAUCAUUGGGCGUAAAGCGCGCGUAGGUGGCUUCGUAAGUCCGUUGUGAAAGUCAAAGGCUCAACCUUUGAAAGCCGAUGGAUACUGCGGAGCUAGAGUACGGAAGAGGCGAGUGGAAUUCCUGGUGUAGCGGUGGAAUGCGCAGAUAGUCAGGAGGAACACCAAUAGCGAAGGCAGCUCGCUGGGACGUUACUGACGCUGAGGAGCGAAGACGUGGGAGCGAACAG
RNAcentral lists this ribosomal RNA (252 nucleotides) under uncultured bacterium. RNAcentral's name for it is "partial 16S ribosomal RNA". It matches the Rfam family "Bacterial small subunit ribosomal RNA", at positions 524 to 775 of the family's 1533-position model. The record is from RNAcentral.